This 69-nucleotide transfer RNA is filed under the name Heloderma suspectum (Gila monster). Its description in RNAcentral is "tRNA-Met". It matches the Rfam family "tRNA". Rfam says of the family: Transfer RNA (tRNA) molecules are approximately 80 nucleotides in length. Lineage: Eukaryota; Metazoa; Chordata; Lepidosauria; Squamata; Helodermatidae. The record is from RNAcentral.
AAUAAGAUCAGCUAAACAAGCUCUCGGGCCCAUACCCCGAAAAUGUUGGUUCGAAACCCGCUCUUAUUA